This is a non-coding RNA of Homo sapiens (human), 147 nucleotides long. It matches the Rfam family "Metazoan signal recognition particle RNA". From Rfam's summary of the family: The signal recognition particle (SRP) is a universally conserved ribonucleoprotein. The record is from Rfam. NCBI's taxonomy places the organism in Eukaryota, Metazoa, Chordata, Mammalia, Primates, Hominidae.
GCUGGGCAUGGAGGCGCAUGCCUGUAAUCCCAGCUACUCUGGAGGCUGAGGCAGGAGAAUUGCUUGAGCCCAGGAGGCAGAGUUGCAGUGAGUUGAAAUUGUGCCACUGCACUGCAGCCUGGCCUACAGAGCUAGACUCUGUCUCAA